AUCCUUCUGGUUCAGUCACGUGAUGAGUGGGUCACUCACGCGUCUGCGUGACAUGUGCCGUCCCUUCAAGUUACGACUUGGGCACAGAACCCGUCUGACA
Small nucleolar RNA from Callorhinchus milii (elephant shark), 100 nucleotides. RefSeq annotates it as small nucleolar RNA U13. Lineage: Eukaryota; Metazoa; Chordata; Chondrichthyes; Chimaeriformes; Callorhinchidae. The record is from RefSeq and is a predicted model, not a curated record. The transcript has a single exon.